AGUUCAAAGGAAUUGCAGUAUUGUUGCAGCUGUGCAAAUUAUGCGAUAGAUGUUAUCUGUGACCGGUCAGUUUAAUAUUGUUUUUGUGUCAUUCGUAUUUCACAUACAGAUGGUUCCAGGUGUAGCCCGCAGCAGACCACGUAUAAUUGCCGUAAUAAAUCCUGCCGCGACGACUUAUGCGCGCCCGCCGCCCGCGUCUCGACCCGCGACAAUUAAAUCACGCUGAGUUAUGGAAUCCAUCUAAUUACAUUAAACACAAAAUUGUAUGAAUCCGCUCUGUCUUUUCUGCAUAUCUGUAUGUUCAUUUAGUGAUAGCGGUAACACUUUUGAACUAAUCGGACAGUAAUAUAUGUGAUUUUUAAUUAAAAUAGUUUUUUAACAGAUAGU
RNAcentral lists this unclassified non-coding RNA (387 nucleotides) under Melitaea cinxia (Glanville fritillary). RNAcentral's name for it is "misc RNA ENSMCXG00005005146.1". The record is from RNAcentral. Lineage: Eukaryota; Metazoa; Arthropoda; Insecta; Lepidoptera; Nymphalidae.